AAGGGUAUAGCUCAGUGGUAGAGUGCAUGCUUAGCAUGCACGAGGUCCUGGGUUCCAUUCCCAGUACCUCCA
This 72-nucleotide transfer RNA is filed under the name Camelus bactrianus (Bactrian camel). It matches the Rfam family "tRNA". Rfam says of the family: Transfer RNA (tRNA) molecules are approximately 80 nucleotides in length. Their secondary structure includes four short double-helical elements and three loops (D, anti-codon, and T loops). Further hydrogen bonds mediate the characteristic L-shaped molecular structure. tRNAs have two regions of fundamental functional importance: the anti-codon, which is responsible for specific mRNA codon recognition, and the 3' end, to which the tRNAs corresponding amino acid is attached (by aminoacyl-tRNA synthetases). tRNAs cope with the degeneracy of the genetic code in two manners: having more than one tRNA (with a specific anti-codon) for a particular amino acid; and 'wobble' base-pairing, i.e. permitting non-standard base-pairing at the 3rd anti-codon position. Lineage: Eukaryota; Metazoa; Chordata; Mammalia; Artiodactyla; Camelidae. RNAcentral also lists the same sequence under 3 other names. The record is from Rfam by way of RNAcentral.